Small nucleolar RNA from Echinops telfairi (small Madagascar hedgehog), 129 nucleotides. Lineage: Eukaryota; Metazoa; Chordata; Mammalia; Afrosoricida; Tenrecidae. The record is from Ensembl.
GGGGUGUGCUGAAAAUUGGGGACUUAAAGAAUGGUUCUUUUGUGUAUAACACACCCAACAGGAAUCUCAAUUCAUUGUGAUAGGGAGCACACAACUUGUAGCCUCCUUAAGAAUAAAUGCCCUACGUAU